GUCCGAGUUGUAAUUUGAAGAAGGUAUCUUUGGGUCUGGCUCUUGUCUAUGUUUCUUGGAACAGAACGUCACAGAGGGUGAGAAUCCCGUGCGAUGAGAUGAUCCAGGCCUAUGUAAAGUUCCUUCGAAGAGUCGAGUUGUUUGGGAAUGCAGCUCUAAGUGGGUGGUAAAUUCCAUCUAAAGCUAAAUAUUGGCGAGAGACCGAUAGCGAACAAGUACAGUGAUGGAAAGAUGAAAAGAACUUUGAAAAGAGAGUGAAAAAGUACGUGAAAUUGUUGAAAGGGAAGGGCUUGAGAUCAGACUUGGUAUUUUGUAUGUUACUUCUUCGGGGGUGGCCUCUACAGUUUAUCGGGCCAGCAUCAGUUUGGGCGGUAGGAGAAUUGCGUUGGAAUGUGGCACGGCUUCGGUUGUGUGUUAUAGCCUUCGUCGAUACUGCCAGCCUAGACUGAGGACUGCGGUUUAUACCUAGGAUGUUGGCAUAAUGAUCUUAAGUCGCCCGUCUUGAAACACGGACCAAGGAGUCUAACGUCUAUGCGAGUGUUUGGGUGUAAAACCCGUACGCGUAAUGAAAGUGAACGUAGGUGGGGGCCCGUAUGGGUGCACCAUCGACCGAUCCUGAUGUCUUCGGAUGGAUUUGAGUAAGAGCAUAGCUGUUGGGACCCGAAAGAUGGUGAACUAUGCCUGAAUAGGGUGAAGCCAGAGGAAACUCUGGUGGAGGCUCGUAGCGGUUCUGACGUGCAAAUCGAUCGUCGAAUUUGGGUA
RNAcentral lists this ribosomal RNA (762 nucleotides) under Candida tropicalis. RNAcentral describes it as "LSU rRNA". It matches the Rfam family "Eukaryotic large subunit ribosomal RNA", at positions 136 to 917 of the family's 3401-position model. Lineage: Eukaryota; Fungi; Ascomycota; Pichiomycetes; Serinales; Debaryomycetaceae. The record is from RNAcentral.